This 490-nucleotide ribosomal RNA is filed under the name uncultured bacterium. Its description in RNAcentral is "partial 16S ribosomal RNA". It matches the Rfam family "Bacterial small subunit ribosomal RNA", at positions 30 to 507 of the family's 1533-position model. The record is from RNAcentral.
AUUGAACGCUGGCGGCAGGCCUAACACAUGCAAGUCGAACGGUAACAGGAAGCAGCUUGCUGCUUCGCUGACGAGUGGCGGACGGGUGAGUAAUGUCUGGGAAGCUGCCUGAUGGAGGGGGAUAACUACUGGAAACGGUAGCUAAUACCGCAUAAUGUCGCAAGACCAAAGAGGGGGACCUUCGGGCCUCUUGCCAUCGGAUGUGCCCAGAUGGGAUUAGCUUGUUGGUGGGGUAACGGCUCACCAAGGCGACGAUCCCUAGCUGGUCUGAGAGGAUGACCAGCCACACUGGAACUGAGACACGGUCCAGACUCCUACGGGAGGCAGCAGUGGGGAAUAUUGCACAAUGGGCGCAAGCCUGAUGCAGCCAUGCCGCGUGUAUGAAGAAGGCCUUCGGGUUGUAAAGUACUUUCAGCGGGGAGGAAGGGAGUAAAGUUAAUACCUUUGCCCAUUGACGUUACCCGCAGAAGAAGCACCGGCUAACUCCGUG